GAUGAAGAACGUAGCGAAAUGCGAUAAGUAAUGUGAAUUGCAGAAUUCAGUGAAUCAUCGAAUCUUUGAACGCACAUUGCGCCCCCUGGUAUUCCGGGGGGCAUGCCUGUCCGAGCGUCAUUACAACCCUCAAGCUCAGCUUGGUGUUGGGCCUCGCCGCCCCGGCGGGCCCUAAAGUCAGUGGCGGUGCCGUCCGGCUCCGAGCGUAGUAAUUCUUCUCGCUCUGGAGGUCCGGUCGUGUGCUCGCCAGCAACCCCCAAUUUUUUUCAGGUUGACCUCGGAUCAGGUAGGGAUACCCGCUGAACUUAAGCAUAUCAAUAAGCGGAGGA
This 329-nucleotide unclassified non-coding RNA is filed under the name soil metagenome. RNAcentral's name for it is "partial contains 5.8S ribosomal RNA, internal transcribed spacer 2, and large subunit ribosomal RNA". The stretch from base 1 to 120 matches the Rfam family "5.8S ribosomal RNA", at positions 35 to 154 of the family's 154-position model. The record is from RNAcentral.